CUGUCCCGCACGUGGGUCCCCGGGAUCCGGCGCCCCUGUGGCCCGCCGCCUGGACGCGGCCUGGAGGCCGGCGGGUGGUUUUCUGCUCCCUGCGCGGGUCUGUGGUGCUGGCCACGGUCUUGCACGUCGUGCCGUGAGAGGCUUAUCACUUUAAAAUGGGGUGAGGUGGUGCGCACAGACUGUUGCGGAGCGGAGCGAGUACCGUGUGAGUUGAAGCGGCGAAGACGACGAGUUAGCACGUCCAUCAAGUACACGUUUAUUGGCUGCGUGUGUGUGCCGGUCUCCGUGGUGCAAAACGGGAAUGAGCCGGAUGAAAGAGGCACCCUUGACCUUACAGUGUGGUGAGGCGGACGGAUGGACGGUUACCGUAGAGCCGAAGCCCCUGGAGGAAGUCAUCGUCGUCCGUUCGAGGGCCUUGGCAGGUGCGGGGCGGCGAGUCAGGGGUCCCGUCGCCGAGCCAGCGUAGCGGACUGAACCAGCGGGAAGCCGGUGGAGCGAGGCGGCGGGCCCUAGGGCGUGGGGGCGUGACAGCGCAGGGCCCGGCGCCGGGGGGAACGUGCGUGUGGUGGGCAGCUGGGGCGAAGAGGAAGAGUGCGCAGUUCCUGGACUGUUCCAGGGAACUCAGACGUGGAAGGGCGGUGUGCUUCUCCACUUUUAACGUAAGCUCAUAAACUGAAUGUAUGCACGCUGCCUUGCAGAAGAGACCCGGCCAGGGGCUUCGGCUCCCCCAGCCCUGCUUGGCCGCCUCGGUCGCUGAGUUCAUCAGCAUGCCCGCACCCAGUGAACUGUGGCAUCGCACGGUAGACGGGAAGGGCUGCUCUACAGAGGGGGGAUAUCUGUCAUCCUACUAGCUUCUAGAAAUAUUCCAGAAGCAGUGUGGUAAAUGAGUUGGAAGGGGGCGAGAGUGGGAGCAAGAGAGAAGAGACGUGCAGCUGUCAGAGAAAGAACCAAUACUAGCAUCUUUACCUUCAAAUCAUUGGCCUGAUGACAGCGAUUCACUCUGACUAAAUAUGUUUCUAGUUUGGAGUUGAUCUCUGUUAACAGUGAUGCGUUACAUAUUAUCAUGAGCCUUAAGCUCCCCCUACUGUUGUAGUGAGCCAGUCUUCUGAGCUGUUCUGCCCAGGAAUGGAUUCAGUCCAGCCCUUUCGGGCUGCAGAACAGAAGGAUGUCAACUAGUUAUAGAAUCUAGCCUGCACAGAAAUGGUGCUUCUGACAGGAGUUCUUCAGACAAAACUUAAGGCAGUUCUGCUGGGAGGACUCCCUUGGGCCUCAGAAGUCCAGCUCCAGGCGCUCUGCCGUCGGUGGCUGCGGCCGGAGACGCCAGCAAGGAGCAGAUCGUGGAGCUGCUGGUGCCAGAGUGUUCCUGACCAUCCUGCCCGAGGAGCUGCAGGCCCGGGUGCGGGAGCAGCCCAGAGUAUAGGAAGGACGCGGUUCCUGGACUGGGAGGGCUUGUCGAGGAAGCUAGAUAAUCCCCGAGGAAAGGUGAGAUAAGGAAGAAAUGAUCCAUCAUCAGAAGGCAGGUAUUCUGUCCAGAGAGAGUCCCCUCUUUCAGAUGAUUUGGUUGAAAUGGAGAAGAUGCUUCCAAAGUAGAAGUCUGAAGAAAUAACAUGCCAACAGGGACCCAUUGUCAGAUUAGAUGGAGGUAUUAAUACCUCAGUGCUUUCAUUACAUAAGUCCAGAAAUAUCAGGGAAGACUAGAAAGAUACCCAUGAUGGCGUAAGUGUGAUGAAUGUGGAAUGAGUUUCACUCAGAGCUCCAUCCUUAUUCAGCAUCCGAGCUACACACUGAGGAGAAACUCUAUGAAUGUGAUGAGUGUGGAAGAGCUUUUGUCAAGAGUGCAGGCUGCAGUGAAGAUAAGACAGUUCACACUGAAUUUGACUCACAGAUGUGGAGGAUAUGGGACAAUAUGCAAACACUGGAUUAGUUCAUCACAGAGAAGCCAUCUUGGAGAGAGACCCUGUAAUAGAAGUGACAAGUAUGGUAAAGCCUUGGAGAGCAGUCAGCUCUUAACCAGCACCAAAGACUUCACACCAGCGAGAAGUGUUACCAUCUGAACAAGUGUGGAAGAGCUAAUAGUCGGAACACAGAGCUUUUCCACUGUGUCAGAAUCUGUGUUGGAGAAAAACUCUUUUAGUGUAAUUGUAGUAAAAAUUUUCCUGGACAUUUCAUUCUUUACUCAGUAUCAGAAAAGUCACUCAAGAGAGAAUGUGGGAAGUUGAUAAAUAUGGAUGGAAAGGCUGUGAACAGUAGCAUCUCAUCUAACACUAAAAACUUUUAAGUGUCCAGCAUCUGAGACUGGCAAGGCAGAAUCUCUCUUCAUACCAGACGUGUAGGUGGUCUUUGAUGGGAACUGGCCCUUCAGAAUGUCCCUCAAAACCUGGUCAGAUUCAACAGAGCAAGCCAGUUACUUUUUCCUUAACAGCCUCAUCAAACAAGCUACAUUAUUUUAGUGAUUCAAAGGGCUGCCUAUGGUCUACCACUUCAGAUUUCCAGAUGUUUUAUUAGUUGUUCCUAAAUACAGUUCUUACAAAAGCUUG
Molecule: non-coding RNA, 2537 nt
Organism: Leptonychotes weddellii (Weddell seal)
Lineage: Eukaryota; Metazoa; Chordata; Mammalia; Carnivora; Phocidae
Source: RefSeq, a predicted model, not a curated record